UACGUAGGGACCAAGCGUUGUUCGGAUUUACUGGGCGUAAAGGGCGCGUAGGCGGCAUGUCAAGUCAGGGGUGAAAUCCGGCAGCUCAACUGUCGAAGUGCCUUUGAUACUGACGUGCUCGAGGGAGGUAGGGGUGUGUGGAACUUCUGGUGGAGCGGUGAAAUGCGUUGAUAUCAGAAGGAACGCCGGUGGCGAAAGCGACGCACUGGACCUCUUCUGACGCUGAGGCGCGAAAGCUAGGGGAGCAAACGGG
Molecule: ribosomal RNA, 253 nt
Filed under: uncultured bacterium
Lineage: Bacteria
Description: partial 16S ribosomal RNA
Rfam family: Bacterial small subunit ribosomal RNA
Source: RNAcentral